AUUGAACGCUGGCGGCAGGCCUAACACAUGCAAGUCGAGCGGAUGAAGGGAGCUUGCUCCUGGAUUCAGCGGCGGACGGGUGAGUAAUGCAUAGGAAUCUGCCUGGUAGUUGGGGAUAACGUCCGGAAACGGGCGCUAAUACCGCAUACGUCCUGAGGGAGAAAGUGGGGGAUCUUCAGACCUCACGCUAUCAGAUGAGCCUAGGUCGGAUUAGCUAGUUGGUGGGGUAAAGGCCUACCAAGGCGACGAUCCGUAACUGGUCUGAGAGGAUGAUCAGUCACACUGGAACUGAGACACGGUCCAGACUCCUACGGGAGGCAGCAGUGGGGAAUAUUGGACAAUGGGCGAAAGCCUGAUCCAGCCAUGCCGCGUGUGUGAAGAAGGUCUUCGGAUUGUAAAGCACUUUAAGUUGGGAGGAAGGGCAGUAAGUUAAUACCUUGCUGUUUUGACGUUACCAACAGAAUAAGCACCGGCUAACUUCGUG
This 484-nucleotide ribosomal RNA is filed under the name uncultured bacterium. RNAcentral describes it as "partial 16S ribosomal RNA". It matches the Rfam family "Bacterial small subunit ribosomal RNA", at positions 30 to 507 of the family's 1533-position model. The record is from RNAcentral.